UAUUUGCUUUGCAAAAGAGAAAAUCAAAGCAUGGAGAGGUGAUCUACCUGAACAGCCAGGUCCUGAGUCACCUGUCCUGGUCCACAGCAGUGAGGACUCUCACUGCUGCCAUAGGAAUGACUUCUGAUCCCUUGGAACUUCAGCCAAAUAUUUCUUCUUGACAGACUCCCAAGGUCAACAUUAAAGAUGCAGACUUUGUGGUCCAUCAUGCAGAGGAGGACAACACCCCAGAGAUGACGAAAUAAUAAGAUGGAAGAACCCUAGGUUCCCAGCAAGUACAUGGAGCAGAGCCAUCAUCAUCUCAGUUGUUACAUGAGAGAGAAGUAAAAAAUGCAUUGACAAAGCUAUUGCAAGAGCUCUACUUAUAGCAAGGAGCCUUAAACUGAACUUCCGACUUUACCCAUUGAUGGGCCUCUCACUGUUGUGGCCUUUCCCAUUGCGGAGCACAGGCUCCGGACACGCAGGCUCAGCGGCCAUAGCUCACGGGCCUAGCCGCUCCGCGGCACGUGGAAUCUUCCCGGACUGGGGCACAAACCCGCAUCCCCUGCAUCGGCAGGCGGACUCUCAACCACUGCGCCACCAGGGAAGCCCCAUUUGUAAUUUUUGAAUGAAAAUCUUUAUGUUAACAACCAAUACAGAGUAAGUCUGGCUUAUUGAGAAGGAUUUUGCAAAAGUUACAAAUUCCAGUUAUAAGAUAAAUAAACACUAGGGAUAUAAUGUACAACAUGAUAAAUAUAAUUAACACUGCUGUAUGUUAUAUAUGAACAUUGUCAAGAGGGUAAAUCCUGAGUUCUCAUCACAAGGAAAAAUAUUUUACUCUGUUUCUUUGAUUUUGUACGUAUAUGAGAUAAUGGAUGUUCACUAAA
Long non-coding RNA from Lagenorhynchus albirostris (white-beaked dolphin), 866 nucleotides. RefSeq lists it as uncharacterized. Lineage: Eukaryota; Metazoa; Chordata; Mammalia; Artiodactyla; Delphinidae. The transcript has 3 exons. The record is from RefSeq and is a predicted model, not a curated record.